Molecule: RNA transcript, 3879 nt
Organism: Otolemur garnettii (small-eared galago)
Lineage: Eukaryota; Metazoa; Chordata; Mammalia; Primates; Galagidae
Gene: PLEKHH3
Gene name: pleckstrin homology, MyTH4 and FERM domain containing H3
Exons: 13
Source: RefSeq, a predicted model, not a curated record
GGGGCUGGGGAGGCGGGGUCCCAGCUCUGUGCUCGCGCCCCCAGCGCGCCAGUCCGGGGGCUGCAGGGAGCGCAGCGCGCGCGCCCCGGGCCCCGGCCACCGGACGCCGUACCGGACACGACCCUCCCUGGAGCUUGGACAACUGCCCACCUCGGACACUGCACCGGACACUGCCCCCCACAGGGCUGGACACUACGACGGACACUACUUCCCAGCUCCGGACAUUACUCCCUCCUUUACCCCGGCCCUGGACGAUUUUCCGCCUCCCCCUUCGGGGGGCCCAGACACUGAGCCCCCCUUAGACUCUGGUUAACUUCCCCUUGCACCCCAGCGCCAGACAUUGCCUCCUCCUUGUGCCCCUCUCCUUCUUCCUUCUCCCACCUCAUCUUUCCCCUCCUCGAGUGGGAGCUGCACCGGUUUCUCCGACCCCCUGCUGCUUGGCCACGGCUGCCCGCGCCCCCAUCUCCCGGCUCCUCGCCCGGAUGCCUCUCCCCGGGGGAUUGUGGUGGCUCCUCUGCUGCCGUCGAGGCUUCACUCUUCUGCAUCGGGACUACGGGGACGGAGAGCUUAGCGGGGACGGGGAGGAGGACGAGGACGAGGAGACCUUUGAGCUACGAACCCCGAGUCCAGCGGGCGGCGGGAGGACUAGCAAAACGCCGCGCGCUUGGCAAACGGGGGACGUCGGGGAGGUUUCUGCCUGGGAGCCAAAGCCCCUGGGACUUCAAGGAGCUGAAGCCCUACUCUGGAUGUGCCUGUGGGCCUCGCGCCGCACGCUGGGCGCUGUCCACCUGCUGGGGGCCCUGAGGCAGGGGAGGCGUCACGCGUGGCCCGACCUGGCCCUGCCUCUCCCUUCCCUGCCGGGCUCGCGUCCCAUCCCGUCUCCUUCCGCCUCCGCCAGCGCCAAGGAAUGUGGUGAGGCCGGCUGGGCAGCUCGAACGCCUGGGUCCCCUGCGCUCCCAAUUCGUGAGCGCUGGAGCCAAAUGCGGGAGCUCCUGCUGCGAGGACCUGGUCCAGGGGGUGAAGGCAUCCUAGAAUUGGGGUCUGCAGUGGGGACCCCACGGAGAGGGAGCUUGGGGCCAUGGCUCUUUGAGGACCCCUCGUCGUUACCCUGCCACUCAAGACAGAACUCUUGGUCUUCCCGGGGUCCCCUGGACGUAACACUGUCUCAGCCUGUGAGGAGCGGUCCCAUCUCUGACAGGCUGCAUAGUUGGGAGGAAACCUGGAGCCUUAUUCCCGAGAAGGGGCUGCCUGAGGACGACCCGGACGUAGUUGUGAAAGGCUGGCUAUACCGUGAGCCCCGCGGAGGGAGUACGCGACCCUGGCUGCCCCCACGCCGGGCCUGGUUCCUGCUUACGAGGGACUCCCUGGACCAGUUCAGCAACAGUGGGAAGGGAGCACGGCGACUCGGGAGCCUGGUGCUUACCAGCCUGUGCUCGGUAACCGGCCCAGAGCGCAGGCCCAAGGAGACUGGUCUGUGGUCAGUGACUGUGUCUGGCCGGAAGCAUAGCGUUCGCCUCUGCACCCCUCGCCAGGCAGAGGCAGAACGCUGGGGGGUGGCACUGCGGGAAGUGAUCGCCUCCAAGGCUCCACUGGAGACCCCCACCCAGCUACUGCUCAGGGACAUACAGGAGAGUUGUGGGGACCCAGAGGCUGUGGCCCUCAUUUACCGGCGGAAUCCGAUUCUGAGGCACACCACUGGAGCCUUGUAUGCCCCACUUCUGCCCCUGCCCUAUGGAGUCAGUGCCCCAGGUCCAGGCUAUGCACCCUUGCGAGAGGAGGCGGUGAGGCUGUUUCUGGCCCUGCAGGCACUGGAGGGGGCGCGGCGCCCCGGGCCCUUGAUGCAGGGUGUGCUCCAAACCUGCCGGGACCUGCCUGCACUCCGGGACGAACUCUUCCUGCAGCUGGCUAAGCAGACCUCGGGGCCCGCAGGGCCUCCAGGGCUCCCAGCUACUCAAGACCCUGCUGCUCUGCGGUAUUGGCAGCUCCUCACCUGCAUGAGCUGCACCUUCCGGCCUGGGGGAGCCGUACGGGGGCAUCUGCUGGGGCAUUUGGAGAGGACCGAGCAGGCUCUUCCAGACUCGGAACUGGCGGAAUAUGCGCGCUUCAUCCGGAAAGCUCUGGGCCGGACGCGCGGCCGAGAGCUGGUGCCCUCUCUGGCAGAGAUUUCUGCGCUCAGCCAACGGCAGGAGCUGUUGUGCACCGUGCACUGUCCUGGGGCUGGUGCCUGCCCUGUGGCCAUCGACUCCCACACCACAGUGGGGGAGGUGGCUCGAGAACUGGUGGGACGGCUGGGCUUGGCGCGGAGCCGCAACACUUUCGCACUGUAUGAGCAGCGAGGGGUCCAGGAGAGAGCCCUGGCUGGGGGUACCCUCGUGGCUGACGUGCUCACCAGGUUUGAGAAUUUGGCUGUGCAAGAAGCUGGGCUAGAGGACUCUCCAGACUCUGGGUGGAGACUGUGCCUGCGUCUUCAUGGACCUCUGCACCCUGAGGGGCUGUCCCCAGACGGUCACGAAUUGCCUUUCCUCUUCGAGCAGGCUCAUGCUCUGCUGCUGCGGGGCCGACCGCCCCCGCCCGACGACACGUUGAGUGCCCUGGCAGCGCUGCGCCUGCAGAGCCUGCACCGGGACUUCUCCCCGCGAGUGCCCUUGCCCAGCUUGGACCGCCUGCUGCCGCCCCCCGCCCCACCGCAGGAAGACGCGCACCGUCCGGCCCCCAGGCCGGCCCCCUCCGCCGCCCUGCUGGCCGGGGCACUCUGGAGCCCGGGCCUGGCCAAGAGGCGGGCUGAGCCGGGCCGUCGCGGCAGGACCGGCCGCACGGCGGGAAGCACGGCCCGCGAGGGAGGAGGUGGCGCCGGCACGGCGGCUGCUGUGCUGGGCGGCUGGAAACGGCUACGGGGCAUGGGCCGAGCUGAGGCCAUGGCUGCCUACCUGGCCCUGGCGGCGCAGUGUCCGGGGUUCGGCGCUGCUCGGUAUGACGUUCUGGAGCUGAGCACGGUGAGGGGGAGAAGGGAGAAGGGGACUCUGGUGGCCCAAGCCCCACACUUUUGCCCCAGAGACACAGGCCCCCACUGCGGGUCACUUCAUUCCCUAUAUCUAGAACAGCCACCAUUUCAAAUUCCAGGAGUCACCAGUCUUGGGCCCUCACAUCCCUGGAGCCAUAGCCACCUCCACUCGCGCUAUGACUCAUUGGUGGGGGGUUGUUUGUCAGGAAACUCCCUGCUACCUGGCUCACUGCCAUCUCCCCCUACCAAAAAUAAUGCUGCAGGAUCUCCACCUUUCACCCUCACUCUGUCUCUUUCUGCAGGAGCCUGGUGGGGGUACUCCUCAGAAACUAUGCCUGGGCCUGGGAGCCAAGGCCAUGUCCCUCUCCCGGCCUGGUGAGACAGAGCCCAUCCACAGUGUCAGCUAUGGCCAUGUGGCCGCCUGCCAGCUAAUGGACCCUCACACCCUGGCGCUGAGGGUGGGAGAGAGUCAACUCCUCCUGCGGAGUCCCCAGGUGGAAGAGAUCAUGCAGCUGGUGAAUGCCUACUUGGCCAACCCCUCCCCCGAGAGGCCCUGCAGCAGCCCUUCUCCAUGCCAAGACCUGCCAGACGUCUCCCCUCCCAGCCAGCACCCGGGCCUGGAUGAGACCCAGGGACAGUCUGGCUGCUUGGGGCAGCUGCAGGACUGAGCCUGCCAAGAGGUCACGACUUCCCUCUUGCCUCUAGCCUGGGCCAGGACCCCUCUGAGAUUUGAGGGAAACAUGGACCCUUUUGGCCCUGCAGGGACAGGGCACACCCCACACUCAAUGGCUGCAGUGGGUGUGGACAAUUUUCUAGUUUGUUUCUUAAUUUAUUUGUAGAAGUGAAGCAAAAAAAAAAAAAAUCCUUAUUUACACAAA